Molecule: long non-coding RNA, 15113 nt
Filed under: Eucalyptus grandis
Lineage: Eukaryota; Viridiplantae; Streptophyta; Magnoliopsida; Myrtales; Myrtaceae
Description: long non-coding RNA (EGRA_LNC004550)
Source: RNAcentral
UCUUAUUGAAGUGCUGGAAACCUGUUCUUGUGGUAUAAAGAAAAAGUAUCUGGAUGGGAUGAAUAAAACUUGGUGACACGAAUGCUUCGUGUUUUUAUAUGUCUUUAAUCCAGCACUUGCCAGACAUCCCACCUCUCUCGAUUCUAGAUAAAUGUAAAAUCACAAGUAAUGGCUUUAGUGAGCCUGAAAGAGGCAGUUUCCUGGAUUCUCGUCCUUUUGGGAAUGAAUGCAUAUAGGUUUAUAUGUAAGUUGCUCUGUUUCCCAGCCUUCCCAACAUUUGCUUAUCACUAUCCUUUCCCCACUUUCCACCCACCCUUUUUCUCUCAUCUUUCUUCACAAGAUUAGCGAUAUUUCCUCGAAAUAACUGACGCCAGUAUCGGGCUCUGGCCCUCCGUCCUUUUUCUUUCUCAUCUUUCUUCACAAGAUAAACUAUAUCUUGACACAACCAUUUCUUGAGCGAGGACUCCCGACACCCUUCUUAUGAGAGUUUUGGAUGAAGUUCCCAUCUGACAUAAAGCCAAUUGUGUAUUACUCCCCGCCAUUAGCGUUUGACUAGCGAUAGUGCUGGGCAAGUGAAGUAGCUAUUUUUCUUUGUAGCUAAAACAGCUCUGCGUCUGAUAACAUUCUUCUACACAUCAUCUACAUUUCUGAUUUUUUGUUUUAUGUGUGACUAAUGGUAUCAUCACAAGUACAAAACUUAGAUUGUCGAGUUUGUUUCUGUUUUCACAUCCUACAUCAAACCCAUCAGCCUUGUGUGGUAGUUGCUAGAUCACUUCGCUUGACGUUUCUAAUGCUUAUGAUUUGGGACAAGAUAUUUUAAUCAUUUCAAGAUAAUUUAUAACUGAUCAUGCUUUUCCAGAUACACAACGAUUGCACACUUCUAAAUGCUUAUUAUGUCAAGUAACAAGACAAUCCGAUGGCAUGCAAUGCAACCACUUUUGCACUUGUUGCUAUAGAAUUUAGCCCUAAAAGGAAAAUGAUAAUUGCUCAUAUGCUCUCGGCUGAGACAUUACUCUAUGUUAUGCAGAAGCAACCAAGGUUCCAGCCAGAGAACUUGGCUCACAACACGAAGUUAUUCGACCGAGUGAAUGAAGUUGCGCGAAGAAAGGGAUGCACCCCAUCUCAGUUAGCCCUCGCCUGGGUACACCACCAGGGUGACGACAUUUGCCCGAUUCCCGGCACAACCAAGAUCGCGAAUUUCAACCAGAACAUUGGAGCUCUGUCAGUGAAGCUUACACCGGAAGAGAUGGCCGAGCUUGAAUUGAUUGCUUCUGCGGACAAUGUCAAGGGUGGCAGGUACGAUAGCAGCGUUCCUACAUGGGAAAACUCCGACACUCCACCUCUUUCUUCAUGGAAACCUGCCUAGAAGCAUGUCUGCUUCUGGUGCUGCAUCUUUGAUGUGCAGAGUUUGAGCAUUUGCUGCUGAAGUAAUUUGAGUUUAUGUUGUGUGGCUGUUAUAAGUACGUGUAAUAAGAGAGUGACUGUUUUCAUUUUGUACAUGUGACAUUCACUAUGAGAAGAUUAUGGAUGUGUACUAACCUUACUGGGGAAAGAUCACUCGACAAACACGAGAGCGAGUUGAAUACAAACUGAGCCUGCCGUGUCGACUUUAUUGGGGUGACUUUUAGAAUCUGAGAAAUCGGGAUUUUGAAGAAUUCAAACUCAGUCGUACAUACUAGAGUGACGCUUUAUUCUCCUCCAACCAUGAGUUUAAUACUAACACCGUGUGCAACAUGCUCUUAAGACUGGAUGCUACACAUAGAUACAAAGCUUCGCUUUGUGUUUGGUUUGGUAGCGAAGUUAAGGAAAAGUAAAAUGUUACCUGAUGUUCUCGCGAAAACGAAGUUGGGGUUAAAAUGCUGGCGCGGUUGAUAUGAGCGUCAGGGAAAUCGAAGGUUUCUUGUUCAAGUUUCACCACCUACGGCUCAUGAGCUUUUAUGUAGCUCGAUACCUUCGCUCAUGCCUCUGCAUUAUUAUAAAACAGUCGGAGAUAUUGCGCAAGUUUCCUAAAAUUAAAAACGACAAUUCUAUUGUUUUUUAUUUGGAGUUAGAGUGGAGCAAUGUUGUUUUGUUUUGGUUUAGGAAAAUAACGCAAAUAGUCACUGCACUUUGGUUUAACGUAUUAUGUUCUUACUGAACUUUUAAUUUAUUUAGUAUGGUUGUCGAACUUUUUAUACAUGUUUAAUUUAGAUCCGAGGCUAGAUAAAUCCAAUGAUGCUGUGUUUGGUCGUUCGAACAUCUUUGCUAUAUGGGAUAAUGAUAGGAUAAAAAUCCCAUCUAAUAUUUCUCCACGUCUGGACAUAACAUGAUUCAAAUAAAACAAAUUUAAAUGAGUGUUUGAUUUGUAUAAUUAAAAUUAAAAAUAAACCAUGGAAGUCGUAAAUACUAUUCAUCCUUUCCCAAUCUUCAUCCAUAUCAAGCACCCCCGUUCCAUGUGACUUCAAGGACGCUCGCUCCUUCUGCAACACCCCUUUCGCUGCCCUUGAUCAACUCGAUGGAUUACGCUCGCUCUACCUUUGACUUCGCCACAUUGAGAGGCCCUUGGGUUUGAGUUCUCCGCUGGUCUAGCCAUCUUUACUUUCAACGCCUUUUUCCUGCGAUAAAUCCAUCCCCUUCGACGAGUGUGAAUACCGCGUUGAUUCCCUGUUACCGUGCUCCGACUUGUUCAGUCGCUUCAACAGCUUCCCCCGAGACAGCGCGCGGAUCCGGUUUAUGAGUGGACAUGGUUGAGGAGCUCUAUCACCUUGGCUGCCGCCUCUUUCGGAUCAUCUUCUUCACAGCGGAGGUGUCCAGCUUUGAUCGGGAUCACAAAGUUCCCUCCUAAAAUGGAGUUAAGUGACAUAAGAAAAGAGGCAGGGCUGACGAGCUCCGCGAUACUCAUGCUCUAAUUUUGUGGUGGUCAUUUUAGUGAGACAAAUUAAGAGAGAUGAUGGUGGCACUGGUCAAAAGUGAGGACAAGCCAUCGACAAGCGCAGGAGUGGGGGAAAAAGUUGUACCCCUUAUCUUUUCAGUUUUCUAAAUUUCACAUAUCAUAUUUGAAUUUAUAUCACUUUCUAGAAGGGAUUUUUAUCCGGACUAUAUCUGAAUUUCACGUUACUCUAAACAAUGGAUAGGAUCAAACUUGCCAUAUCAGAGUUUAUCCAACCCAUUAAAGACAGUCUUAUGAGAUAGAAUGCAAUGAUAUAAUUUGUGAACUAGAUUAAACAUUUAUUAAAAAUUUAAGAACAAUAGUUUACAUUUUGAUUAUUAGGAUGCAUGAAUAAGUUAUGUUAAAACAAUCGCACAAUAUAUUGAUAGCUUUGAAAUAUGGCUUUCUCUUGGCGAUGAUGUCGAUUAAUAUGGAGAAAUUAAUGGGAGGGUUUAUUUGGCCUAAUUAAAUGGGAGGCUAUAUCAAUGGGAGGUUUUUCAUUGUAACAUUCCCUUGUGCUUGGUAUUUGUAUUUUAGUAAAGGAUUUUGUUAGCAUAAUAGUCUUUGGAUUAUUAUGAGAAUAACAGUUUGUUAUAAGUCAUAAACUUUUAAAGUCGUGAACCCCAUGAUAAUUUCAAUUAUUUGUUAUUUGAUUUUUUGUAGUCUAGAAUAAAAAUUAUCAUCAAAUUAUUUAUUUUUAACAAAUAUAUUGCUCUAACUGUUGUUUCAAUUAAGUUUGCAUCGGAGAAUAGAUUAUUUUGUUUUGGUGCGCUAGUCGAGGGCAGAAGAACACCACAAGUGCCAUAACUUGGCACGCCGGGACACUUAAGUGCCAUAACUUCCAAACGGUACACUUAAGUGCCACUUUUUUUUUCAAGUGGGACACUUAAGUGCCACCUCCGGCGACCCUUGCCGGAAAUCAUACGUGGCACUAUUUUAUUACUAUUUUUGCCAACGUGGCUCGCCGGAGAGCUGAGUCGGCGCUCAGUCACCAGAAACGACGUCGUCUCCAUAAUAAAAGCCCCAAAUCUUCCAAAAACGACGUUGUCUCCCCAAAUGCCCCAAAUCUAAAACCCUAAAUCGGCCAAAAUCCCUAUUGAAGUGCUCGAAUUGAAGUCUCGAACCCUAAUUUUCAUUUGCCCAAAAUUCCUUCGUCGAAUCUUGGAAAUGGAGAGCAGGACUCGCAGCAGCGCCUCAAUUUCCUCUCAUCGAAGCGAAGGAGAAGGCCAGCGUUUCUGUUUUUGUGGGUUACCGAGUCCAAGAAGAACAUCGUGGACUCAAAUCAAUCCUGGGAGAAGAUUUUAUGGAUGCGCCCGAUAUAAAGAAGCGUCGAAGUGCAAAUACUUCAAAUGGAUUGAUGAGAAGUUCUCUGACCGAGCCACAGAGGUGAUAUUGGAUCUACUUCAUAAAAGACAGCAAUCUUCAUCUGUGUUCGUGGACGACUUGGACGAUGUUGACUCAAUGCAAGCUCAAGUGUCUUCAGUGAAACUUUCGAAGAAUGAAGUGUCAAUGCACGCUCAAGCAUCUUCAACUAAACCUUUCAAGAAUGAAGUCCCAAUGAUGAAGAUUGAACGAAAGUGUUACCAAGCGUGUAUUAUGGUGUUGUUUUGUUGUCUAUUGUACUUUAUGAUGAAAUGUAAAGUACUUGAGAAUGAGAAAAAGUUUCUGCGACUGCCAUAGUUAAAAAUGGUGUUGUUCUGGAUUAAACGUUGGGUUUUUUCUUUUUGAAAGAUGCGAAGAAGUUUGUGUUGUGGAACAAGAUCAUUGUUGCUUUGUUGUCGUUUGUGCUGUGGUAUGGACUUGCCAUAAGUUUACCAUCAUCUUCUCUGUUUUGAUGCAGAAUCAUCUUCUCUGUUUUGCAAUGCAGAAUCAUGUUCUCUGUUUUGAUGCAGACCGACAUAUACACAAGACAAACAUGAGUCAUUACCCGAGUGCCAUAAGUUGUAUUCAGUAAUCACGUAAGUGCUAGUCGCGAUGAAAAAAGGAUCACUUUAGUGUAAAGUUAUUGUUAAAGUGAUCGGUUAAGUGUCACUUGUAGUUAAAAGUGAACAGUUAAGUGCCAAGUUUUUUUAGAAUAGGAUCAGUUAAGUGCCAAUUUUUUUGUCGGUUUUCUGUAAAAAUUGCGCCAGCCACCAGCACCGGCGACACCACCAACCAUCACCACUAUCCACACUACACACUAGGCGCUCCAGCCACCACCAUGCUGGUGGUGUUGCUGCACAAGAUACUAGUGCAAGGCUCAGCUUGCACUAGUUUGCACCAGUACACAUGGUGUAAGAUGUGCAAACUGCACACUUGUACCAGGUGUAGGUGCAGCUGCUUAAGCCUAUAACCCCCACCACAAACCAAUAAUCACCAGGCAUCACCAUCAGCCACACCAGCACCCCAGCCACGACAUUAGCACCCCACCAACAAACUGACUACCACCUACCACCAAACAUCACCAUCCACCAUCACUAGAUACACCAGCACUCCAGCUAUCACCACAGAACACCAACAGCAGCAGCAACAAGUAAAAGCCAGAAUCCAUGAUAAACAACAACAUAAAUUGACAAGCAGCGCAAGAUCAUUUCAUUGAUAUUAAUAUCAUCAAGUCUGAGUCUGACAACAUUCAUUUCAUUGAUAUUUCAUCAAGUGUGAGUCUGAGUCUGACAACAUCAAUGAAUGACAAACUAAAGAAAAAAAACAAAAGAUAACCAUCGAUGCAUAGACUUUCUAUAUGCACGACAACAUCAUCGUUUACAUAACUGUUUUUACUCCUAAGCUCCACAAAUCCUAUCACAUCUCAUCUCAUCAAUCAAUAUGCACGACACCCCCUGUUCGUCCUCCUUUCGAUGGGCCUUUCACUUGAUUCAUAAUUCUGGCACUCUUUCUAACUGGACGUGCAACUUCUUCUUCAACCUUCUCAGUAUCCACUGACUCAGAUGGAGCUGCAAAUGUCAUAGGCCGAAUUGAAUCAAAAGGAGCUGGAGCUGGAGCUGGAGAUGGAGCUGGAGCUGGAGCUCGAGCUCGAGCUGGGUUCUUUCUCUUAUUUUUUUUUGGCACAGUUGAUGUUGAUGUUUUCUUCUUUUUUGUUGGUGCAGCCGUCGAUUCUUGAGUUGGGCCUGAGAUAAGAACUUCUGAACUUCUCCCAGGCUACAAAAAAACAAUAAAUUGUUAGCAAAAAUCUACAGCAUAAAUUAAAUUAAAUGCAGCCAAUAAAACUUACAUUGAGAAUGACUGUUCCAGUAGGCUCAUCUGUAUACAGGCCAUAGCCAUAUUGUCUGAACCUCUUCCCAAGUGCCCCUCUUGUUUGAAUAGGGGCGUCACUUUCAGGAACUUGUGAUUUGUUGCCCCUUUGUCCUGCUUUCUUGGGCCCUUUAACUACAGCCGAGGCUUGUUCGACCCAUUGUGUUGGGCGUCUUCUAGAUGGCCUUUGUGUACCUGCCCCUUCACCUGGCCUUGUUCUAGUUGUCCUUCUGUGUAGCCCUUCAACUUCAGUGACACCUCCUUCUGUUUGGCCUUCUGGUGGUACUGGUGGUGGUACUUGUGGUGCCCCUUGCAGCUCCUGUGAUGAUCCUUGAGAGCAUGAUCCUUGAGGUGGCUCCUGUGAUGAUCCUUGAGGUGGCUCCUGUGAUGGCCCUUCAGUUGGCAGUUGAGUUCGAACUUGCUUUCUUCGAACCUGAGAAAGAGGCGAAAAUCGAACCUGAGAAAGAGGCGAAAAGAUACCAUAAAUAUAAUAUCGAGACAUAUAAUAAUAAAAACUGAAUACAAAUUGAUUGAAUUUAGCACUGGGUAUUUCUUUCGCUGCUGAAGAACAGUCGACUGCACUGGCCGUGAUGCUGCUUGGGUCAAUCCUUCAGCUGGCCGUGAUGCUGCCACUUGGGCCAAUCCUUUACCUGGCUGUGUUCUACCUUGCCUUCUUCGAACAGGCUGUUCAGUUUCAUGACUUACUGAGGUUCUUCUUGUGACCUAACAAACACAUUACAUACAAGGCCAAAUAGGAUAUCAUUAUGUACAUUUUUAUGAUAAACGACAAGAAAGCAACAUAAACAUAAAAUAAAUUUCAUGACUUACCGGGGUUCUACUUGUUGACUGAAGAACAGUCGACUCACUUGGCCCUGCUGUGUGCAUUUCUCCAACUGUCUCUUCACUAGGCCCUUCACCUUGCCUCAACCGUUGUUGCUUCCUCAAUUGACAACCUUUAAUAUUGUGGCCUGUUAGGCGACAAUAAGAGCACGUGAUCUUUGCACCCUCCCUGCUCAUUCUUUGCUGACCCGAGACCUCUCCCUCCGCCAUUCUUCGUCUUCGUUUUGUCCUUCCAAUUGUCUUCUUCAGUGGCAAAGGUAGAGGUGCUUCACGAUCCGUGGGCUCCCAAAACUUGCUACUUCUAAUUGGCUGCAUCAUGAACUGAUAGGAAGCAAGAUACUUUGAUUUAUGGUACCAAUCAUCGAUGUAAUCAUCUAUAUUGUCGCCCUUCAACUGGAUGGCACAUAUGGCAUGUGCACAUGGAAUUCCACUUACUUGCCAUGAUCUACAUGAACACUUCCUACUUCCUAGAUUGACAACAUACUUAUCUGCACCCUUCAUUAUCUCAUAUCCGUCAUCUCCAUUCCAAAUGGGAUGACAAUGCGUACUUGCAGCCAAGUUGUCAUCCAAUUUCUUCACAAUCCUAGGACCAUAUUGUCUUGUCCACUUUGCAGCCUCAUCUCUUUGUUUCUGCAGCCGAGUCAUAACCGCAACUCGUAUAUCUUCAAGCAUUGAGAUGACUGGUUUGCAUCUGGCAUCUAUUAUCUUCGAAUUAAAUACUUCACAAAUGUUGUUGUCGACGUUAUCGCACUUGAACUCCUCACUGAAGAAUGCCCUGCACCAAUGCUUCGGUUCUAGUUGAAAUAGGGUAGCACAACCUUCCUUUGUCAACUGAAGCAGUCCUUCUUUGGCUAUUCUAAAGUCAGCCAUGUUUGCACUCUUUGCUAAUUGCCAAAAUUGCAAUUGCAGCUUAUCCCCUUUAUAGUUCUUUGCCCAAUUUCCGUAUAUGUGCCGCGCACACAUUCGAUGUUCAGCAUGGGGCAACAACUCGGCUACUGCCGGAACCAAUCCCUGCAAUAAUUCAAAGUAAGAAAUAUUAUAGCAAAUUACAUGUUCAUAUUACAAAGCAAAGCAAAGCAAACUAUUGACUAAACUUUUCAAAAAGCAAGCAUUACCUUCUGUUGGUCACUCGUGAAUGCCCACCCUUCCCCGUUUGUUAUCUCCAAGUCAGCCAUCAGAUUUUUCAAGAACCAAGACCAAUUGUCCUUGUUCUCAAUCUUUACAAUAGCCCAAGCUAGUGGGAACAUUUGGUUAUUCGCAUCUCUUCCAAUCGCUGCCAACAAUUCUCCCUUGCACAAGCCCUUCAAGAAACAGCCGUCCAAUCCUAUAAUCCGUCUACAACCAGCUAAAAAACCUCGUCUGCAUGCAUCAAAGCACACAUAGAACUUAUCGAACUUGGUCCCAUGAUCAGGAAGUGGUCUCUCAAUCACCUCUACAUACACUCUACUUGUAGGGUUUUGCAGCCUACACUCCCAAGCAUACUCCCACACCUGCCCAUAUUCCUUAGCAUACUGACCAAUAAGUACCUUUAUCACCUUUUGCUUUGCUCUUUUGCACUGAUUCCUAGAUACAUUGAUGCCUACACGCUCCUUCACCAGCAUCCUAAAGUUAGCAAGUUUCAAGUUGGGCAUCACCUUGAUCAGAUCGAAGAAGUGCUUCGACAACCAUGAACUUGUUACCCUUUUGUUUUGAAAAUUAAUGGAACAAGUGUGUUCCUCUUGGUAGGCUCUAAUCUGAAAAGACCCACUCUUCUUAACAAACGCACCGUAAAUCUUCCAUGGACAGUUUUGCUGCGAACACCUAGCUCUUACAAAUUUCUUGGUAUUUCUAAUGAAAUCAAUAUUUCUUUGUGCAGCAAUGGAAGAACUCAGUAUAGCUUCCCUAAAUUGUAUCGCAUCAUGGAAUUUCAUACCUACUGACAAAGUAGGAGAUGCAACAGAUGGAUCAUAGGAAGGAAACUUACUUUUCCUUCUACGCACAGCUCGUUGAUCUUCUUCAACUUCGUCCUGGGAAGUUGCGGUGUCGAUGCUUUCUUCAUAAUCUGUCUCCAGGACCUGGCCAGCAACACCAACAUCUGCAGGGCCUUCGUCUCUGUUUGGAUGAACAGCUACAUGCAAAGUUGCAAAUCUAUCUAACAAAAAGUCCCUUUGUUUUUUCCUUGACUGUGUAAGCUCCUCAUCGUCGACGUCACUUAAGAUUAACAAAUUUUCAGCUUCAGCAGCCAACCCUUCAUCGUCAUCGUCACCCUCACUGGAUUCAGCUACUUCCCAAUCUAAUUCAGUGAUGGUGACAUCACCCAUGUCACAAUCGCUCUGGUGAACAGCAUCUGCGCCCCUCUCCUCCCCAUCCUGUCCAUCAUGACCUACUUCAUCUCCUCCUUCUCCUACUUCGGUGGUAUCUGUGUCAUCAUGUUCGUCCUCACUAUUGUUUUCAACAAACACUUUCGCCUCUUCGCCAUGAAGAAAAUGAUAUAAGACAUCCCUAAAACCAUUAUCAUCUUCCAAAACUCUCAAACCAUCUCUCAAGCCUUUCCCAGGAACACAGUACAGUAACUUUUGUACUCUACAAGGCAAAAAUGUCACUAUAUCCCUAACAAAUCCAAUAUAAGAUGCCUUCUUUAUAUCUACAAAGAUAGUACCCUCAUUCCCCCCCUCAUACUCCCACUCAUCCUCCCCAAUCACAAAAUCUCCACCGUAGUAAACGAUGACAGCAACAUAGUCUUUAUGCGCCAUUUCUGCAACAAAAGAGGACAAAUAUACAAUUAACUAUUUUGGGACCACAUUCACAAAGAACAGACAAUUGCAAGUGGAGGUCCCCACACUCUUUAUUAAAGAAAAGAAAAGAAAAGAAGAAGAGAGAGGGAAGAUGCGGUCGUCGACAGCUGCAGCUUGAAAACAACAGGCCUCAGGACAAGGACAAAUAAAAAUUAAGAUGGGACCCGACAACUGCUUUGAUUAUGCCGUCGCAUUUCUUUAAAAUAUGGAGAGAUUCCUCAGCAUGGGUCCUCAACAAUGCAAUUUAUUAAACAAAUAUCCAGAAGUCCCCAUCCCCACAACCUUCGAUUCUCACAUGUGCAAAGUCCAAUACUCUGAACCCUAACAAUCACCAAUCAUCGCACAUUUCACAUCCGACCACUACAAAUUACUUUCGCACAUCACAAUUCAACACCCUGAAUGAAUCACACAUCACAGUGGAUGAGGCGACGUCGAGCCCUACACUGAGCCCUAAUUUCCCCCCCCUCGAGCCCUACACCGAGCCUAUAUUUCAAUGCCGCUCCUAAACUGUCAAUUUGAACCCCCCAAUAGGAUUGUAGCACUACAUCUCAGCCAUUAAAUCUCACAUCAAGCCUGACCUUUCCCAGCCGACCCCCAAAUUUGAAGUCCGAGCCCUAAUAAACGAGUCGGAGCCCUAAUUUCACCACAGGGGAGAGGAAGAAGAGAAAAAACCUGAGCAAAUCGACGACGGCGAGCGAUGACGGCGCUCGACGACGGCGACCGACGACGGCGACCGACGACGGCGACCGACAAAGGCGAGCGACGACGGCGAGCGAUCACCUGCGAACGGCGAGCUGUGAACGGCGAUGGAUGGAUGGAGAGGACGUCAGACCUACUGUGAACCGACAAAAUGUUAAAUUCCAAAUAAACGAACGACGUCGUUUUGUUUGGCCAAGUGCACAGUGGAUGGGGCGACGUCGUUUUCCUCCUCCACGUCUGCUUUUUUUAAAAAAAAAAAUUGCCACAUCAGUUAAGCUUGUCGCCGGAAAAUGCCACGUCUGCAUUUUGGCCGGUUUUUCGCCGGAUUGGCACUUAAGUGUCCCAUUUUACUCCGAUGAUGGCACUUAAGUGUACCAUUUUAAAGUUAUGGCACUUAAGUGUCCCGGCGUGCCAAGUUAUGGCACUCCAGGUGUCCCGACCUCCUAGUCGAGUAUUGCACAGUACAUUGUCAUUUUCUGAGCACUAGCAACGUUGCAUUCAGACAAGGCGGCAUGGAAUUAUUUGCCCAGCUGCACAUCGCUCGACCAUACAUUCAUGGACUGUUCCUCAGGAAAGCAUAUAGACAUGUGGCAGAUGCAGAACAUUUCACGAGAUUAAAAAAAAGAAAAUAAUUUUAAAAAAACUAUAGUUUCAACUUCAAAACAUGUCGAACGCCUGUUUCCACAUCAAGAAUUUGGGACCUCCCAAAUAUUUUCUUGGUAUUAAGAUUGCUCGAUCUAGUAAAGGUAUUAGUCUUAGUAAGGUAUUAAGAUUGCUCGAUCUAGUAAAGGUAUUAGUCUUAGUAAGAGGAAGUUCAUCCUAUAAAUCAUUUUUGAAGCGGGAUUAUCCAAAUACAAGUCCGCCAUCAUACUAAUCGAACAAAAUACUAAGCUGCCAACUCAUGGACUUAGAUUCUUCAUCUUUUGAGGAUUCAUUGCUCAAGGAUCCAUCAGCAUAUCGGCAACUUGUUGCAAAAUCAAUAUACCUCAUCAUCACAUGGCCCGAUAUAUGUUAUGCAGUGCAAGUACUCUUUAUUCAUGCAUAGUCCAAAACAAUUCCAUAUGAAUGCAGCCCUAGAAGUUGUGAAAUAUUUGAAGUGAUGUCUAAGACUUGGAAUAUUUUUAUCUUGUGACUGCAACAUGAAGAUGAGAGCUUUUUGUAAUAUAAAUUAUGCUACUUGCCUGAUGAACAAGAGAUCUAUUUUUGUUUAUGCAUUAAAUUGGGAAAGUCAUUAAUCUCGUGGAAAAGGAAGAAGUAGUCAAUUAUAUCAUUGUCAUCAGCUGAAUCAAAGUAUCAAGCCAUGGGGAAAACUACCUGCGAAGUAGUUUGGAUAGGAGGAUUACUCUCGGAUCUUGGAUUACAGGUUAGUGGAGCAACUAAAUUGUUUUGUGAUAAUGAUGCUACAUUUAAAUUAACAACAAAUCUAGUUUUUCAUGAAAGAACAAGACAUAUAGAAGUUGAUUGUCAUUUUACUCAAAUAAGAUUAGAGAAAGAGUUGUUGUAACUAAAGGAAUUGGAAUUAUGUCAAUAGGAUAUUUUGGACAAAGGGUUAAUGGGAGCAGAUUUGUGACUCAAGUAAAAAUUUAUGAAUUUUUAUGAGAUUGUAAAAAUUUUAGGGUAUUAUACAAAAAAAAAAGGUCUAAGGUAGAAUUAGUAUGUGAGUUAACAUUGAGGAUUUUUUAUGGGACAAAAAAAAGGUAAUGGUAGAAUUGUGAAUGGAUCUAAAUUAUUGUUCUUUUUUGAGACAAAAGGUACAAUUUGGAGAAAAGCUAAAGCAGGAGGUUUUUUUUCAUAAGGGUGUUAAGGUUCAUUUUGUCAUUCAUAUGACGUCAGCAUUUCUUAUUUUCUCCUACCUUUUCGUCAGCACGUGCGUCUUCGGUAGCACGUGCAGGGAUCGAGCGAGCUCGAGCUAGACGACGGCAAUGGCGGCGGCGUCGACGACAACGGUGAGGAGGAUCAAACUGGGGUCGCAGGGGCUGGAGGUGUCGGCGCAGGGGCUGGGCUGCAUGGGCAUGUCCGCCUUCUACGGCCCUCCCAAGCCCGAGCCCGACAUGAUCGCCCUCAUCCACCACGCCGUCGGCUCCGGCGUCACCUUCCUCGACACCUCCGACAUAUACGGCCCCCACACCAACGAAAUCCUCCUCGGAAAGGUCGGUUCUCUCAGUCUCUCUUUUGCCUCCUCAUGAAUUGUAUGUGCUUAUAGUGUUACGGAAUUUAGCUUCAUCGAGCAGGAUGGGAUGCUCUGAUCCUGCGUCAUGGUUUUCUAAUUUCGGGGUUGAUUUUGAGCAGGCGCUGAAGGGAGGGGUGAGGCAGAAGGUGGAAUUGGCGACCAAGUUCGGAGCCGUCAUCGGGGACGGGAAGAGGGAGGUCCGGGGCGAUCCGGCAUACGUGAGGGCGGCUUGCGAGGCCAGCUUGAAGCGGCUCGAGGUCGAUUGUAUCGACCUCUACUACCAACACCGUGUCGACACUCGAGUCCCCAUCGAAGUCACUGUAUGGAUCCUCCUUAAACCUUUACCUCUCUCUCGAGACUUUCUCGGAGCCAUAUGAUCAGUUGCUAAACUAGAUUGGUGUUAAUUAUGCAUCGUCAUGUUGUUACAAGUUUGUUGGAUUUUGUGGCAGUUGCUUGUAAAUAUUGUUAAAUGAGAUUUAAGAUCGGGUGAUAGCAGAGUUCAAGAUGCGGCACGAUGCUGUUAAAGGGGUUGUGGAAUUUAGUGGUUUAGUGGCUUGAGUUUUUGUUUUAUGGGCAUCUUUUACAAGUUGAGGGUCAACAAUCAAGAAAAUCAUUCGAAAUCUUCCUUUGAGAUGAAAGUGCUCCGGGGUUCAUCCUCAUUUAUAUACAAGAAUCACAUUUGAAGUUGUUCCUUGACUUUCUAUGGAAUGGAGACAUUUGGUUCUUGACAUAUCAUCGUGAAAUGUGACAAGUACUUGGAACACUUCUUUAAUUUGCUCUCUUCUGUGAUCGAUUAGAGAAAUCCACCUCCGUUAACGCAAUACCUAGCGACUUUUUUGUCACAUUGACAUGCAUAAUAAUUGACUAAACUAUUGAGGGAUCGGGAAACAUAAAAAGCUAACGAUGUGCAUAAUUUUCUGGAUCUUAACACGUAGGAUCUUGACGGUUGUUGUUUUGUCUUGUGAAUAUGCACAGAUUGGAGAGCUAAAGAAGCUCGUUGAAGAGGGUAAGAUCAAGUACAUCGGUAUGUCUGAGGCCUCUGCGUCAACAAUCAGAAGAGCACAUGCUGUUCAUCCCAUCACAGCGGUGCAAUUGGAGUGGUCGCUGUGGUCAAGAGAUGUGGAGGCAGAGAUCAUUCCCACGUGCAGGUAGGAUAUCACUCUGUUAGUUUAUUUAUGCAGUAAAAUCAUCUUUCUUCUGACUCUGCUCUUCCUUCAAAAUGUUGACUAGGGAGCUUGGCAUUGGAAUCGUUGCCUACAGUCCUUUAGGACGAGGAUUCUUUUCUGUUGGCUCCAAGUUGGUGGAGAAUUUCUCCAAGGAUGACUUCAGACAGGUCUGUUUCUGCUGGUCGACAUAAUUAGAUGCUCACAGUGACUGUCAUUCUGAUUGAAGUGCUGGAAACCUGUUCUUGUGGCAUAAAGAAAAGUAUCUGGAUGGGAUGAAUAAAACUUGGUGACACAAAUGCUUCACGUUCUUAUUUGUCUUCAAUCCAGCACUCGCCAGACAUCCCACCUCUUUUGAUUCUAGAUAGAUGUAAAAUCACAAGUAAUGGCUUUAAUGAGCCUGAAAGAGGUACGUUCCCGGAUUCUCAUUCUUUUGGGAAUGAAUAAAAAUAGGUUUAUUUGUAAGUUGCUCUGUUUCCAAGCCUUCCCACCAUUUGCUAAUCACUAUCCUUUCUCCACUUUUCACCCACCCUUUUUCUCUCAUCUUCCUUCAGAAGAUUAGCGAUAUUUCCUCAAAAGAACCGACACCAGUAUUGGGCCUCAGCCCUCCAUCCUUUUUUAUUCUCAUCUUUCUUCACAAGAUAAAUUGUAUCUUGACACAAACAUUUCUUGAGUGAGGACUCCCAAGCACCUUUCUUAUGGAAGUUUUGGGAUCAAGUUGUGUAUUACUUCCUGCCAUUAAUUUUGGGCGAGUGAAGUAGCUAUUUUUCUUCAUAGCUAAAAGAGCUUUGCGUCUGAUAAUAUUCUUCUACACAUCAUCUACAUUUGUGAUUUCUUUCUCUUAUGUGUGACUAAUGGUACCAUCACAUGAACAAUACUUAGAUUUUGAAUUUCGUUUCUGUUUCCACAUCUUACAUCAAACCCAUUAGCCUUGUGUGGUAGUUGCUGGAUCACUUCACUCUACAUUUCUGAUGCUUUUGAUUUGGGACAAGAUAUUUUAAUCAUUUCAAGAUAAUCUUUAACUGAUCAUGCUUUUCCAGAUACACAGCAAUUGUGCACUUUCGAAUGCUUAUUAUGUCAAGUAAAAGACAAUCUGAUGGCAUGCAAUGCAACCACUUUUGCUCUUGUUGCGGUAGAAUUUGGCAUUAAAAGGAAAAUGAUAGUUGCUCAUAUGCUUUCUGCUGAGACAUUGCUCUAUGUUAUGCAGUACCUACCAAGGUUACAGCCAGAGAACUUGGCUCACAACGCCAAGUUAUUCGACCGAGUGAAUGAAAUUGCACAAAGAAAGGGAUGCACCCCAUCGCAGUUAGCCCUCGCCUGGGUACACCACC